This 62-nucleotide transfer RNA is filed under the name Bradybatus kellneri. RNAcentral's name for it is "tRNA-Glu". The record is from RNAcentral. Lineage: Eukaryota; Metazoa; Arthropoda; Insecta; Coleoptera; Curculionidae.
AUUUAUAUAGUUUAUUAAAACGUUACAUUUUCAUUGUAAAAUAAGAUUUUAUCUUAUAAAUA